GGUGGAUUAGUGGCGAACGGGUGAGUAACACGUGAGCAACGUGCCCAUAACUCUGGGAUAACCUCCGGAAACGGUGGCUAAUACUGGAUAUCUAACACGAUCGCAUGGUCUGUGUUUGGAAAGAUUUUUUGGUUAUGGAUCGGCUCACGGCCUAUCAGCUUGUUGGUGAGGUAAUGGCUCACCAAGGCGACGACGGGUAGCCGGCCUGAGAGGGUGACCGGCCACACUGGGACUGAGACACGGCCCAGACUCCUACGGGAGGCAGCAGUGGGGAAUAUUGCACAAUGGGCGAAAGCCUGAUGCAGCAACGCCGCGUGAGGGAUGACGGCCUUCGGGUUGUAAACCUCUUUUAGUAGGGAAGAAGCGAAAGUGACGGUACCUGCAGAAAAAGCACCGGCUAACUACGUGCCAGCAGCCGCGGUAAUACGUAGGGUGCAAGCGUUGUCCGGAAUUAUUGGGCGUAAAGAGCUCGUAGGCGGUUUGUCGCGUCUGCUGUGAAAUCCCGAGGCUCAACCUCGGGUCUGCAGUGGGUACGGGCAGACUAGAGUGUG
Molecule: ribosomal RNA, 551 nt
Filed under: Pseudoclavibacter sp.
Lineage: Bacteria; Bacillati; Actinomycetota; Actinomycetes; Micrococcales; Microbacteriaceae
Description: bacterial SSU rRNA
Rfam family: Bacterial small subunit ribosomal RNA
Source: RNAcentral